AGGGUUUGAUCAUGGCUCAGAACGUACGCUGGCGGCACGCCUAACACAUGCAAGUCGAACGAAGUAGCAAUACUUAGUGGCAGACGGGUGAGUAACAUGUAGGUAUCUGCCCUUUGGCCUGGAAUAACACGAGGAAACUUGUGCUAAUACCGGAUAAGUCUUUACGGAGAAAGCUUUAUGCACCAUUGGAUGAGCCUGCACUUGAUUAGUUUGUUGGUGGGGUAAUGGCCUACCAAGACUGUGAUCAAUAGCUGAUUUGAGAGGAUGAUCAGCCACAUUGGGACUGAGACACGGCCCAAACUCCUACGGGAGGCAGCAGUGGGGAAUCUUGCACAAUGGAGGAAACUCUGAUGCAGCGAUGCCGCGUGAGUGAAGAAGGCCCUUGGGUUGUAAAGCUCUUUCGUCGGGGAAGAAAAUGACUGUACCCGAAUAAGAAGGUCCGGCUAACUUCGUGCCAGCAGCCGCGGUAAUACGAAGGGACCUAGCGUAGUUCGGAAUUACUGGGCUUAAAGAGUUCGUAGGUGGUUGAAAAAGUUGGUGGUGAAAUCCCAGAGCUUAACUCUGGAACUGCCAUCAAAACUUUUCAGCUAGAGUAUGAUAGAGGAAAGCAGAAUUUCUAGUGUAGAGGUGAAAUUCGUAGAUAUUAGAAAGAAUACCAAUUGCGAAGGCAGCUUUCUGGAUCAUUACUGACACUGAGGAACGAAAGCAUGGGUAGCGAAGAGGAUUAGAUACCCUCGUAGUCCAUGCCGUAAACGAUGUGUGUUAGACGUUGGAAAUUUAUUUUCAGUGUCGCAGCGAAAGCGAUAAACACACCGCCUGGGGAGUACGACCGCAAGGUUAAAACUCAAAUGAAUUGACGGGGACCCGCACAAGUAGUGGAGCAUGUGGUUUAAUUCGAAGAUACGCGCAGAACCUUACCAACACUUGACAUGUUCGUCGCGACUUUAAGAGAUUAAAGUUUUCGGUUCGGCCGGACGAAACACAGGUGCUGCAUGGCUGUCGUCAGCUCGUGUCGUGAGAUGUUGGGUUAAGUCCCGCAACGAGCGCAACCCUCACUUUUAGUUGCCAUCAUUAAGUUGGGCACUCUGAAAGAACUGCCAGUGAUAAGCUGGAGGAAGGUGGGGAUGACGUCAAGUCCUCAUGGCCCUUACGUGUUGGGCUACACACGUGCUACAAUGGUAUCUACAACAGGAAGCAAGACGGCGACGUCAAGCAAAUCCUUAAAAGAUACCUCAGUUCGGAUUGCACUCUGCAACUCGAGUGCAUGAAGCUGGAAUUACUAGUAAUCGUGGAUCAGCGUGCCACGGUGAAUGCGUUCCCGGGUCUUGUACACACCGCCCGUCACACCAUGGGAGUUGGUUCUACCUUAAGGCAAGGUUUAAAACCCUUGACCACGGUAUAGUCAGCGACUGGGGUGAAGUCGUAACAAGGUAACCA
RNAcentral lists this ribosomal RNA (1437 nucleotides) under uncultured marine microorganism. RNAcentral's name for it is "bacterial SSU rRNA". It matches the Rfam family "Bacterial small subunit ribosomal RNA". The record is from RNAcentral.